UACGUAGGGGCCGAGCGUUGUCCGGAUUUAUUGGGCGUAAAGCGCGCGCAGGCGGCCUCGCGCGCCCGACGUGAAAGCCCCCGGCUUAACCGGGGAGGGUCGUUGGGGACGGCGGGGCUUGAGGGCGGGAGAGGGUGGUGGAAUUCCCGGUGUAGUGGUGAAAUGCGUAGAGAUCGGGAGGAACACCCGUGGCGAAGGCGGCCACCUGGGCCGACCCUGACGCUGAGGCGCGAAGGCGUGGGGAGCGAACGGG
Molecule: ribosomal RNA, 253 nt
Filed under: uncultured bacterium
Lineage: Bacteria
Description: partial 16S ribosomal RNA
Rfam family: Bacterial small subunit ribosomal RNA
Source: RNAcentral